This 85-nucleotide transfer RNA is filed under the name Felis catus (domestic cat). It matches the Rfam family "tRNA". Rfam says of the family: Transfer RNA (tRNA) molecules are approximately 80 nucleotides in length. Their secondary structure includes four short double-helical elements and three loops (D, anti-codon, and T loops). Lineage: Eukaryota; Metazoa; Chordata; Mammalia; Carnivora; Felidae. The record is from Rfam by way of RNAcentral.
GCCUGGGUAGCUCAGUGGGUCAAGCAUCUGACUUCAGCUCAGGUCAUGACCUCACAGUUUGAGGGUUCCAGCCCUGCCUUGGGCU